This 3566-nucleotide long non-coding RNA is filed under the name Panax ginseng (ginseng). RNAcentral's name for it is "long non-coding RNA (PGIN_LNC014896)". The record is from RNAcentral. Lineage: Eukaryota; Viridiplantae; Streptophyta; Magnoliopsida; Apiales; Araliaceae.
UUUUUUUAUUUUCUAACCUUCUUUUUCUCUCUCUCUCUUUGUUCUCUCUCUUUUCUGUAUCUCUUUUCUUCUUCCUCUGUUCCAAAAUCACAAAACUGAAAUCAUGAGAAGAGAGAGAAACAAAACCAAGUCCGGGUAUGAGUUUCCCUCGUUUCUCUAUCUCAUUUGUUCUUCACAUCUCUCCCUCUCCUUCAAAAUCAAUAGAGGAGAGAGAAACAACCAAGUCUUUAGAGAGGGAAAGACCAGUAUAAAGUAUCAAAACCCUUCGAUCUGCGAAUUUAUCCCUCAUCAAAUACGGGUAUGAGUUUCUCUUUUCUAUCUAUGUUAAUCUAUGUAUGAUAGUAUGUCCAGAUAUAUAAAUUAUGUAUACAUGUGUUUGAAUUUUAGGUUUUUAAGAAAUAAAAUGAAUUGGGACAGAAAAGUCUCUGUUUUUAGGAUAUUUGUUAUAGUUUAGAUAUUUGUUAUAGUUUAGGCAUUUGUUGUGAUUGUUGAGUGAUUAAUUGGUGUUAGUUUUGUUCCUUACUUAAUUUGUUUUUAGGAUAUUUCUUUAUUAAAUAAUCAGCUUGAAGCUCCUGAUCACUAUCAAGACUAUCAAGAGAGAUAGAACCUCCAACCCCUUUUGAUUUCUCAACUCCACUGCUCUCUUCAGUAGGUCUUAAGCAAUUUAAAUUGAUAGCCUCAGGAGAUGCCUUGUCAUCUGGUUUCUGAUUUUGCACUAGGCCAGAGAUACAUGGCAUAUUGGCGUCUUCAAUUUUUACUGCAUGAUUUGUUUCCUUCGAUACUUCAUUAAUACUUUUUUCUUUGAUCCUGACUAAAUAAGUUCCUGAUUCUGAACUGGAAAUAAUCAAAGAAACCAAUUUAUCAUCAACCAAUAUUGAUGCUGAAUCUGGGCGAGGCAUAGGGUCUAAAAAUGCGACAGAGGUUAGCAUAUCAUGUGAUGAAAGGAUGGACUCUGGUGUAAUCAGUUUAUGGUGGUUCUCCAGAUUACAAGUGUUUGGCAUCAAUUUUAAGGAAUGACCAUUAGAAUAUCCUUGGACAGAAGAACCAUCUACUCCACCCACUUUCGAUGAGGAUUCGACCCAAGGAUUCUCAUUAUCAAGCCCAACUCGAUCAUUGUUUCUCUCUCCUCUAUUGAUUUUGAAGGAGAGGGAGAGAUGUGAAGAAGCCACUAGGUAUCAGAAAGAAAAUUGGAGGCAAUUCGUGAUUUCAGUUUUGUGAUUUUUGUAACAGAGAGAGAAGAAAGAGAGAGAAAAAGAAGGUUAGAAAAUAAUAAAAAAAUUUAUUAAAUUUUAUUUUGCCACGUGUCAGUUGCUAUUAAGGUCCGUUUGUCCGGUUGGAAAAUUUUUAACGAGAGGGGCACAGUUGACUUAAAAUUUAUAACCUUAAAGGCAUUUUUAAAAAAAAAAUUAGUUUAGGGUGUAAGUGGGAUUUCGGGGUAAACAUCAGGGGUAUUUUUGGACCUUUGCCCCAUUAAUAUUUAUCUCUUAAAAUAAGGACUCCUAAUUAUAUUAGUAUUGUAAAUAUAUAUGAUGAAAUAUCAUAUUUUUGUAAUUAUUUUAUGAGUAUGAUUUUUGUAAUUACUUUCAUAAAUGUACUAUAAUAUAAUAUGUAAUUGUUCCAAAAAGAAAAGGCUCUUGGAGUUCAAAUACCCGCUAAUAAGUUCAUCCUAUUCUUUCCAAAGCCCAAUACUGUUCUGUUUUCACUUUUCAUUAUUUACUACAACCGUAAUGACGUGUGAGGAUGGAGCCUUUGGGCCUAGCUAGUGUUGACCAGGAGUUUGGUGUUUGGACCAUUUUAUGGCCCACUUUAACCCAUUCUAGUUAACCCAAAUUUCUUUUAAAAAAGAAAUCUAGUCAAUCCUAGUAAUUAACCAACUAAGCAUAGUCUUUUGAAUAUAUAUUGAAAUUGAGCUACUUUUAAUGAAUAUAGAAAAACGUCAAUUCUAAUUCCACACAAGUACUCAUCCUUGAGGUAAUGUCACGAUUUUGGGGCCCACUUGAUCAAGACUUAAGCCCACUGGAUUGGGGCUGGCCCAAAUCUCCUAAGUUUAAAGUCGUGUGUAUCAUAAGAAAUAACAUUAACUGCCCGAGGAUACUUUUACUGUUUAAACCAAAAAAAAAAGGAAAAAAUAUAACUAUAACUUGUACCAGAAGAGAAAUAAAAUAAACUUUGGAUUUCAAUACACUUGUCAAAUUAUAUUGGUAGGUCGUAUAUAAUAAUAGCAUUUGUAUUUGAAACUUUUAAUUUAAAAACUCGAUCCUAACUUUACUCUUUUAUAAAUAUACUCACUCAAUUUUGUUAUUAAUAAUCUUAACUAGUUAAUAAAAUACAGUGCAUAGCAAAAAAAAUCACUAAAAUUAAAAUAAUUCUUUUAUAAAAAAUCUUACAAAAUUAUUUUUAAAAAAUAUUUGUGUGCUGUAUUUAUAUAAGAGCUUCCAUCAAUUUUAUGUUAAAUUUGACUUGCUAUUAAUGUGGAACGGUUAAUAUUAAGAUAAAAUAAUAAUAUAUAAAUUUUUUUAUAUAAGAUGAAACUCUAAAAGUCUAAAUUAAAGAAUGAAGAGUUUCACAAAUUAUGACAAUUAUGGAAAAAAGAAAUGAAGAAUGUUGACCGUUCGAUUGGUUACGAAAAUGAAUGACGUUUGGGGCCUCGUGGGUCGUGUUUGUUGACCCAAAACCCUGUCCUUUCACUCAUAAUGAUGAUUCGAAUUCGUAAAAGGCGUACAAAACUGUGAUGACUGCGAGAUCCCCUCGUGACUUCAUUUUCAUAUACUGUCGGUUUGAUUUAAAUUGUAAAUAUUUUUCAAAAAAAUAAAUUAGUAAUACUUUGAUGAAUAAAAAUUUCAUAAUAUAUAUAUAGAAAAAAUUAGAGGUACAUAGCUGUAUAAAUUCCAAAUAUAUUAGAGUAGUCACUCUACUACUGUAAAAACGUAGAGUGAAUCUAAUUUACGAUCGUAUAGUGAGUCUGCCAGAUCGUAUCUGAUCUGGCGCGCUGAGACUGACACGGCCGACUCCUACAAGAGGCAAUACUGGGGAAUUUUUAGGAAAGCCUAUUGAAGGCAGAAGGUCUUUUGAGAAUAAGCAUCUACUAACUCUAUCCAGCUGCCAGUGGAUGAUUUUGGUUAGGUGAAAUUCAAAAUUACAAUUGGUAGCCUUGUGGAUAAUUAUUAGUUCCUUCAUUUAAUUUUGCAGGGACAAUUGAAGAGAGAGAGAGAGAAUGCAGAAUGGAAAAAGUAACGUGAAAGUCGCAGCACAUUCCCAAAAGAGGAGAAGUAGGUUGCAGGCAUUGGUGACAUGAGAAGAAGAAGAAAAAGAAGAAAAUUCAGUAAAAAGCCACUUUUAUACUGCCUCCCUUCUUCCAUCUUGCUUUAAUGACUAUGUACAGUUAAAAUUAAUGCAGACAGACUCAUGAUUUCUUUCCCUUUAUAUAUGUAAUGUAUAUUACUCCACUGACUCAAUUUUAUUGGCUGUACCUGUACGUGGUUAUGGGCAUGAGUCCCCAAUACAUGGAAAUAGAAACUAAAGCUUGCCCAUACAAAUUACAAAUUACAACGAAUGAAGAAUAAAAG